GCGAUACUACUCGAACAGGUGCAACCUUCGAUUUGGCUGCCAACAAAUUUGCUGAAAUACCUCCACGCUUAUCAAUGACGCGAACAUAUACCGCCGCUCCGUAAGCUCUACAAGAGGCAUCUGCGAACCCAUACAGCUCAACUCUGUCUGCCGAUGCAUGGACGGCACUACAGCUCGUGGCAACGAACACUCAUGAACAAGUUCCAAUUCGCUUCUGUAUUUCUGCCAUUGUAGCGCAUAGCUUGGUGGCAACUCCUCAUCCCAUUGCUGCUUUAGCAACCACAGUUCUUGCAUGAAAAUCUUUCCUAAAAUCAAAAGGGGGCUUAGAAAUCCCAUUGGAUCAAACAACUGUGCUAACUCUGAUAACACGAUACGCUUCGUAAUGCUGUCCGAGUUACUUGCGACGUACGAAAAUUUAAACUUAUCAAUCCUCGAAGCCCAAAAUAUUCCAAGCGUCUUUGCUGUAUCUGUUACCUGUAGCUCUAACGGUUCUACUACGUCUGCACGAUCUCCAUCACAAUAGCUGUUAGAGCGCCACUUAUGAAGCUCGAAUCGCCCCAACUUUAACAACUCGGUAACUUCAUGUUUUAAUUCCUUUAGCUGCUCGUAAGAGCUCGCUCCAGCUAGCAUAUCAUCCAUGUAGAAGUUUUGCCUUACAGCUUCGCUAGCUAAUGGGAAUGAUUCCCCAAAUUGAUCCGCUAAAUAGUAAAGACAUCUAACUGCUAGAAAAGGUGCUGAAUUGGUUCCAUAGGUAACCGUUUUAAGGCGUAGUACCUUAAUUGGGUCAGUACUACAAUUACGCCAUAAAAUGCACAAAUAAUUGCAGUCGCUUGGCUCAACUGAUACUUGCCUAUACAUCUUAGAGAUGUCAGCAGUCAAUGCGAAUCGAUAAAACCGGAAUCGAGUAAGGGUCUCGAACCAAUUUUGGUUGCAACGUUGCUCCUACCAGCAUUGUAUCGUUUAACGCCAUUCGUUUAAGCCCAUUGCUUGAUUUACACGAUGCAUCAAAUACGACUCUCAACUUUGUCGUCAAACUUUCUGGGCGAAUCACCGGAUGAUGGGGCAUGAUAUAUUUCACCUCGUGUAUCUUAUCAGCCGCUACCUCCUCUAAAUGAUCCAAUUGUCUAUACUCAUCGAUAAAUUCUGCGUAAGCUCUCUUGAGCUCUGGAUUCUUACUGAACUUUCGUUCUAAGUUCAAAAACCUAGUCAAAGCGAUAUUACAGGAAUCCCCUAGCGACUUCUGUGGCUGUGCAAAAGGCAAGCGAACUACUAUACGAUUAUCGUCUGUUCGUUUCACUGUAGCCACGAACAUCUCUUCACAAAUCCUUUCCGAUUCUGUUAAUACUUUUCCGGGUCGCAACACCUCUUCGCAUUGCCAGAACUGUUGCACCAAAUUUUGCAACUGGUCAGCCUCCUGUUGCCUUGGACCAUCAGGUUUAUUCACAAUCAACGCUACAUUCUCGUCAGGAAUACACUCGCCC
RNAcentral lists this long non-coding RNA (1481 nucleotides) under Drosophila guanche. The record is from RNAcentral. Lineage: Eukaryota; Metazoa; Arthropoda; Insecta; Diptera; Drosophilidae.